RNAcentral lists this ribosomal RNA (374 nucleotides) under uncultured organism. Its description in RNAcentral is "partial 16S ribosomal RNA". It matches the Rfam family "Bacterial small subunit ribosomal RNA", at positions 526 to 896 of the family's 1533-position model. The record is from RNAcentral.
GAGGGGGUGCAAGCGUUAUUCGGAAUUACUGGGCGUAAAGGGUGCGUAGACGGCGCAUUAAGUCUGUUGUUAAAUUUUUCGGGCUUAACCGAAAAGCUGCAGUGGAAACUGAUGCACUAGAGGAUGAGAGAGAGAAGUGGAAUUCCCGGAGUAGCGGUAAAAUGCGUGGAUCUCGGGAGGAACACCGAUGGCGAAGGCAGCUUCUUGGCUCAUUUCUGACGUUGAGGCACGAAAGCGUGGGGAGCAAACAGGAUUAGAUACCCUGGUAGUCCACGCUGUAAACGAUAACCACUAGACGUUAAUUUGGCCUUGCUAGAUUAGUGUCGUAGCUUACGCGUUAAGUGGUUCGCCUGGGGACUACGAUCGCAAGAUUA